AAGACUAUAGACCUGCGGAGUACCUGCGGAGGGAUCAUUACAUGGCGGAGGAGGUGGGCACCUAGUAAAAACAAAACCCUAGGUGUGUUGCCUACCACGCUUUCUACCCUUGUCUAUUUGCACCUUUUGUCGUUCCCUCGGUGGGUCUUGAACCUGCCGGCGGCAACUUUCAAAAACCUUUUGUAGUUAGUAUCUAAUUCUUCUGAUCAAAUAUUCAAUCGUUACAACUUUUAACAACGG
RNAcentral lists this unclassified non-coding RNA (240 nucleotides) under soil metagenome. Its description in RNAcentral is "partial contains 5.8S ribosomal RNA, internal transcribed spacer 2, and large subunit ribosomal RNA". The record is from RNAcentral.